GCGGAUUGAUAAAUGCACAGGCCAAAACUCUCAGCUGCUGUGUACAAUACUGUAUACAGCAGCUAAAAUUAAAAACCUCCAUCAGAAAGUGUGUGUUCCCUAAUGAACACACACUUUCUGAUGUUCUGUUACCUACCAGCUGAAACCCCCCUUUUUCUCCACCCAACUUUACACUACUCUCUUAGCAUGGGUGGCUGUAAGUACACUAGGGCAAACAUAAGAUUCCUUUUCUUUGGUAUGUUUUGUUUCAUUUUAUUUUAUUUUUUCAGUUGUAUCCUACAUCUUUGGCCUGACCUCCAUUAGUGAUGUCCAAACUAGCUCAAUCUAAACUGAAAAAAAUAUCAAACUGUCAACCAAAAGUAAACACAUCACCUGUAGGUACAGUACAGUAAAGCUAAGUUUCCUUUUGUUUGGGUAUUUUUUUUUUCUUCUUCAGUUGUCUCUGCCAUCUUUGACCUGACCAUUAGUGCUGUCCUGACUAGCUCACUGUGAGCAGAAAAAAAUUAUCAAACCGUCAACCAGAAGUAAACACAUCACUUUGGACAACUCAAAGACACAGUCUACCUGCUGUUUAACCCAGUCUUUGGUCGGAGGUGAAGAAGAGAUGACAUCCUCCACACCAUCCCCCUGCUGCUCUCAACAACCAUCAUCGCUGUGCUGGACAGACUGCAGCACCCACCAGGGCCCUUCUCUCAUGGACUACACAAACAUGUGUUUUACCUGCUCGUGCUCCAGAUGUCCUGUAGCAGCUCUCAAGGACCACCAGACACCAGGCUGAAGCAGAACUGAUGCUGUAGUACCUGUCACUCACUGGGCUUGUCCCUGCUGAACCUCCAAGAGAUAAACCCCUCUUCAAGAAAGUCUGAGGUAAUGUCUUAGUGAACUUGUGUUCAUUUAUUUUUUCUUAGUAAUCUUAGCUGCUGUAUUAAUGCUUGUGAUGCUAUUGUACAGCUCUGCUGAUAUCGUCUUUAACAGCAGUGUUUUCUCCCAGGUCUUCUUCAAGCCAGUUAAGAGAGGAAGAACAGCUUAGACACUCAGGCAGCUGAACUCACCAAAGGUGGACAUCAUGCAGCCACCCUGAGCCUUGAGCCUCUCUGUGUGAGGAAGCUUUGCUGCUGCUUACCUGGUGAAGUGGCUCUGGACAGAAAUAUUUUUUGCUCUGCUGCAGUGCUGAAGGUAUUCAUUGUAAUGAUGUGUGUAUUUAUUCAACAUGUUUAGUUUCACAGAUUAUCAACACAAAUGUUUCUGUUUAUUUCCUGUUUUGAACCAGCUACAUUCUCCUACUUCAAGUCACUGUCUGUUCAUCCACGGUGUAGCAAGUGCAGCUGCCUAAUAGUGAUCCUACAAGUCCUGCAGUCCUGUGAAGCAAGCUGCAGCAGAUGUCAUCACAUUCAGAUCAUCAGUUCAUCUUUACUGUAGCUUUAAACUUUCCCUGACUCCAGUGAUUCUGUCAACUCGAACACCGAUAACUGCACACAGCGAUUCUACAACCACAGGUCAAAGGUCAAAACAUUACCUCACUCAAAACCUUCACUCUGAACUUUACCGGGCUCUGCUUUUGGUUUUGAAAAAAAGUGCCCAGACAGAACACAGUACUCACUUGAGGAACUGACUGAUUGUCUUCAGGACAGGACAACUAUUACUCUUAUAUUGUUUUGAAUCCUGUUUUCUACAUUAAGUGAUCGGUUGUCGAUAUCUGUUUAUAUUUUAAGUUUCCUUUAUGUUUCUUGGAC
This 1733-nucleotide long non-coding RNA is filed under the name Xyrichtys novacula (pearly razorfish). Lineage: Eukaryota; Metazoa; Chordata; Actinopteri; Labriformes; Labridae. The record is from RNAcentral.